UGUGGGAGCUGGCUUGCCUGCGAUGCAGACGCCUCGGUACAUCAGUUGUACCGAAGUGAUGCUAUCGCAGGCAAGCCAGCUCCCACA
This 87-nucleotide unclassified non-coding RNA is filed under the name Pseudomonas costantinii. Lineage: Bacteria; Pseudomonadati; Pseudomonadota; Gammaproteobacteria; Pseudomonadales; Pseudomonadaceae. The record is from RNAcentral.